GACGAACGCUGGCGGCGUGCCUAAUACAUGCAAGUAGAACGCUGAAGGAGGAGCUUGCUUCUCCGGAUGAGUUGCGAACGGGUGAGUAACGCGUAGGUAACCUGCCUGGUAGCGGGGGAUAACUAUUGGAAACGAUAGCUAAUACCGCAUAAGAGUAGAUGUCGCAUGACAUUUGCUUAAAAGGUGCAACUGCACCACUACCAGAUGGACCUGCGUUGUAUUAGCUAGUUGGUGAGGUAACGGUUCACCAAGGCAACGAUACAUAGCCGACCUGAGAGGGUGAUCGGCCACACUGGGACUGAGACACGGCCCAGACUCCUACGGGAGGCAGCAGUAGGGAAUCUUCGGCAAUGGACGGAAGUCUGACCGAGCAACGCCGCGUGAGUGAAGAAGGUUUUCGGAUCGUAAAGCUCUGUUGUAAGAGAAGAACGAGUGUGAGAGUGGAAAGUUCACACUGUGACGGUAUCUUACCAGAAAGGGACGGCUAACUACGUG
RNAcentral lists this ribosomal RNA (495 nucleotides) under uncultured bacterium. RNAcentral's name for it is "partial 16S ribosomal RNA". It matches the Rfam family "Bacterial small subunit ribosomal RNA", at positions 28 to 507 of the family's 1533-position model. The record is from RNAcentral.